This 253-nucleotide ribosomal RNA is filed under the name uncultured bacterium. RNAcentral's name for it is "partial 16S ribosomal RNA". It matches the Rfam family "Bacterial small subunit ribosomal RNA", at positions 524 to 776 of the family's 1533-position model. The record is from RNAcentral.
GACGGAGGAUGCAAGCGUUAUCCGGAAUUAUUGGGCGUAAAGCGUCCGCAGGUGGCUGUUCAAGUCUGCUGUCAAAGCGCAGAGCUUAACUCUGUACAGGCGGUGGAAACUGAAGAGCUAGAGUAUGAUAGGGGUAGAGGGAAUUCCCGGUGUAGCGGUGAAAUGCGUAGAUAUCGGGAAGAACACCAGUGGCGAAAGCGCUCUACUGGGCCAUAACUGACACUGAGGGACGAAAGCUAGGGGAGCGAAAGGG